AAUAAAAAUAUCUUUGGUUGGGGCAACCACGAAGAAAAAACAACCUUCGUUUAAAGAAAAAAUAAACAAAUUUAAAAUUAAUUAUUAAAACGAUCCGGAAAAUACCGAUCAAAGGAAAAAGUUACCGCAGGGAUAACAGCGUUAUUCUCUUUAAGAGUUCAUAUUGACAAGAGAGUUUGCGACCUCGAUGUUGGACCGGGACACCCCAGGGAUGCAGCAGCCCCUAAAGGUAGGUCUGUUCGACCUUUAAAGUCCUACGCGAUCUGAGUUCAGACCGACGCAAGUCAGGUCAGUUUCUAUCUA
RNAcentral lists this ribosomal RNA (303 nucleotides) under Psathyrometra sp. ME25. RNAcentral describes it as "partial 16S ribosomal RNA". It matches the Rfam family "Bacterial large subunit ribosomal RNA", at positions 2257 to 2643 of the family's 2925-position model. The record is from RNAcentral. Lineage: Eukaryota; Metazoa; Echinodermata; Crinoidea; Comatulida; Zenometridae.